GAGAGAGCUUGCUCUCUUGGCGGCGAGUGGCGGACGGGUGAGUAAUAUAUCGGAACGUGCCCAGUAGCGGGGGAUAACUACUCGAAAGAGUGGCUAAUACCGCAUACGCCCUACGGGGGAAAGGGGGGGAUCGCAAGACCUCUCACUAUUGGAGCGGCCGAUAUCGGAUUAGCUAGUUGGUGGGGUAAAGGCUCACCAAGGCAACGAUCCGUAGCUGGUUUGAGAGGACGACCAGCCACACUGGGACUGAGACACGGCCCAGACUCCUACGGGAGGCAGCAGUGGGGAAUUUUGGACAAUGGGGGAAACCCUGAUCCAGCCAUCCCGCGUGUAUGAUGAAGGCCUUCGGGUUGUAAAGUACUUUUGGCAGAGAAGAAAAGGUAUCCCCUAAUACGGGAUACUGCUGACGGUAUCUGCAGAAUAAGCACCGGCUAACUACGUGCCAGCAGCCGCGGUAAUACGUAGGGUGCAAGCGUUAAUCGGAAUUACUGGGCGUAAAGCGUGUGUAGGCGGUUCGGAAAGAAAGAUGUGAAAUCCCAGGGCUCAACCUUGGAACUGCAUUUUUAACUGCCGAGCUAGAGUAUGUCAGAGGGGGGUAGAAUUCCACGUGUAGCAGUGAA
RNAcentral lists this ribosomal RNA (620 nucleotides) under Alcaligenes phenolicus. Its description in RNAcentral is "bacterial SSU rRNA". It matches the Rfam family "Bacterial small subunit ribosomal RNA", at positions 72 to 685 of the family's 1533-position model. Lineage: Bacteria; Pseudomonadati; Pseudomonadota; Betaproteobacteria; Burkholderiales; Alcaligenaceae. The record is from RNAcentral.